Mastacembelus armatus (zig-zag eel) is the source of this 1661-nucleotide long non-coding RNA. Ensembl lists it as uncharacterized. The record is from Ensembl. Lineage: Eukaryota; Metazoa; Chordata; Actinopteri; Synbranchiformes; Mastacembelidae.
GGUAUAGUGUAGAUAUCAUCUCCAAACGCUGUUCAUCUGACAUACAUUUUAUAAAUUACAAUAUAAAUGAUCAGCAUUAAACUCAGCUGUUUGUCAUUUUCUUUCUCCUUUCAAACUCCAGACUCAGCAGUGAACCACAUAACCUCCAACCCUAACCCCUCACUCCAACCCUAGCUCUCCCUGAUAGAGAGUCAUCAUGAUGCUUCAGCUAGCCCCCACCCUGACCCCAAACCUGCCCCUACCGCUACUCCUAAAUCUAACCUUUAAUUUGCAGAGGUUAACAACUUCCACUUAAUAUUGACCACUUCCUGCGGAUAUCAGACAGGUUUUUUGGAAGGAAUUUCCAAGGUUUGAUACCAGAGUUUCCAGUAACAUCAGAAGCACAUUGGAGUUUGCCCAUUUGCCUACAGGUCAUGGCUAUCAAAUGAUGAGCCUUCACCCAAUUCACCUGUGAUGCAGCAUUUCUCAUUUGGUUCUGUCUGGCUGUAGCUUCAAUCAGCACCACACAGGUUAAGUCCAUUUCUGUGGUGCCAUUCAUGCCCAUGCUCAGAAGUAUUACCCAAGAUGCUCAGAGAAGAGAAGGUGGCAUAGGCCCAACAGGUGUUUGAAAAAGUUGAGACACUGACGGGGGCUGCCUCUGUUCCUGAUGGCUGUUGGUGGAGAAGGGGGGGAGGAAAGCUAGAAGCUGUUGCAGACUGACAGAGCCCCUGUCGUGCAGCAGGGAAAUGCGAUGCCACUGUCCUUCCCCCAAUAAUAAGUGGGCCAAAUAAGAUACAAGGUUAGAAAUAGUUAAUAAAAACCUUUUCAGAAUGAUAAAACAAAUAAUUAUGGCAAAGAAAAGAGAAACACAACCAAUACUGAAAAAAGAGAUAGUGUUUGUAAAUGCUGCAGUGCUGUUUAUGGUUCUGUUUUCUAUAUUUGCAUGUGGUUUUUUAAUUUUCUGAGUUUAAGUCCAUUGUAGAAAUAUGAAACUGGUUCUAAAUGUGGACUGGUGCACCUCAGCUGUCAAACUCAGCAGCAGAAGGUUUUUGUACCAGUCUCAUUCACGGUGAGAAUUACUAUGAGAUCUACCGCUACUACUACGACGACCAGAAGGUCCUUAGCUCUGGAACAAAACUGUAUGUUACAGAUGAGCAGGUAGUGAAGCCUGUGGUGAGCGUGUACCCAGCAGCAUCCAGAGCCCACCUGGAGGGGAACAGCUCCCUGCUGUGUCUGGCCUCAGCCAUGUUUCCUCCCCUGGUCCGGUUCUCCUGGAAAAGACAGAAGGAGAACGGCCAGCUGGAGGAGCUGCCCUCUGCUGGGAGAGAGCAGCUGGAGCUCAGGGAGUCGGGACGCACCGCCGCCAUCCUGCUGGUUGAUCGGGACAGUUUCUACACUUAUAAAUACCGCUGCUACGUGGAGCACGAGGGGGGCAGAGUGGAGGCCCAAAGAGAACAAGUGGUUCCCCUGGAUCCUUUCCAGUCUCAGUGCAGGGUGAAGCUGCUCUGUCUGCUGUACACAGUGCUGAUAGUGAAGAGUCUGCUGUACUGCUGUGGACUCUCUCUGCUGAAGAGCCUCAGAAACAAGGGACCGUCCACCUGCUGCCCACAUGCUGACUGACUGUUUUCUGCUCGCCUUUUCUCACCAUCACAUCUCAUCCCUUCAUCUCAUUCAUCACUUUU